RNAcentral lists this long non-coding RNA (330 nucleotides) under Setaria viridis. RNAcentral describes it as "long non-coding RNA (SVIR_LNC001405)". The record is from RNAcentral. Lineage: Eukaryota; Viridiplantae; Streptophyta; Magnoliopsida; Poales; Poaceae.
UCGCAACACUAUAAUUCGAGCUAGGACUGAAGAUGGACAUGGAUGUCCAGUGGAAAGGGAGACACUGGGAACUCUAGUCAAAAAUCAAGAAACUCAUCUGCUGAAGCCAAGCUGAAACAAUGUAUGAUUCAUAUACUACACAAACUUCCGGUACAUGUGUAGCUCUAGUAGCUAAUGGUCUAUCAAAGGGUUCAUGCACAAGAGCAUCAGAUAUAGCACAGCCUAAGCUAGGUCUCUAACCUUGUCUUCUUUUUAAUGUUAACUCUCAGGCCAUUCUGUGCAAUGAGCAAAGUCGUAAGGCAGCACAGGAAAUAGUAAUGGCAUGCACUU